AACGAACGCUGGCGGCAUGCUUAACACAUGCAAGUCGAACGCGUGGUCUCGGUUCGCCGGGGCCAUGAGUGGCGCACGGGUGAGUAGCGCGUGGGAACCUGCCCUGAAGUGGGGGAUAACCGAGGGAAACUUCGGCUAAUACCGCAUACGCCGGCUGUCUUGCGAAAGAUGGUCGGGAAAGAUUUAUCGCUUCAGGAGGGGCCCGCGUCGGAUUAGCUUGUUGGUGGGGUAACGGCCUACCAAGGCAGUGAUCCGUAGCUGGUCUGAGAGGAUGAUCAGCCACACUGGGACUGAGACACGGCCCAGACCCCUACGGGAGGCAGCAGUGGGGAAUAUUGGACAAUGGGCGCAAGCCUGAUCCAGCAAUGCCGCGUGAGUGAGGAAGGCCUUAGGGUUGUAAAGCUCUUUCACCACGACGAUGAUGACGGUAGUGGGAGAAGAAGCCCGGCUAACUUCGUGCCAGCCGCCGCCGUAAC
RNAcentral lists this ribosomal RNA (476 nucleotides) under uncultured bacterium. RNAcentral's name for it is "bacterial SSU rRNA". It matches the Rfam family "Bacterial small subunit ribosomal RNA", at positions 28 to 524 of the family's 1533-position model. The record is from RNAcentral.